This is a long non-coding RNA of Cercocebus atys (sooty mangabey), 398 nucleotides long. RefSeq lists it as uncharacterized. NCBI's taxonomy places the organism in Eukaryota, Metazoa, Chordata, Mammalia, Primates, Cercopithecidae. The record is from RefSeq and is a predicted model, not a curated record. The transcript has 3 exons.
GUCCGCUGGAAAAAGGGAAGAAAGCCUCGGAUGGGCGUGAGUGCAACUUUCUAAAUGCAAUGCGCAGCGCUCAUUUCCCAAGGAUGAUUCUUACAAGGAGAAAAUCCAGAAACUAUCAAUUGGCUACCUUGAUCUGAUCCUCUUCAUGAAGAAGCUUGAACUUCUCCCUGCUUCACAGAUGGGUUAUGAGAUAGUCCUGAGAAGCUGCAUUCUAAGAAGCAUUAUGACCUGUCUUCUUAGAAACAACACGACAUCACUUUUAACACAUUCUUUUGGUCACAAGGAGAGGGAAUUACACACCACCUGGUUUUGGAUGCAUGCUUGAGGUGUGCUACUCUACUCACCAGACAUCUGAAACUACACCCAGAUCAUCUGAAAGUUAACAUGUUCCAGGUGAU